RNAcentral lists this long non-coding RNA (568 nucleotides) under Lotus japonicus. RNAcentral's name for it is "long non-coding RNA (LJAP_LNC000377)". Lineage: Eukaryota; Viridiplantae; Streptophyta; Magnoliopsida; Fabales; Fabaceae. The record is from RNAcentral.
AAUUCUAUUAUGUAAAUUGGUAACAAUUACAGUUGGAUACAAUUGGUAUAUAUAGUCUUUCCUAAAGACUAUUAUAAUUGCUAACUAUUAGUCAACUAACAGGAUAGUUGACUAGAACUAACUAGUCUAUAGUAUAUCUCUAAUACACCCCCGCAAGCUCAAGGUGGGUGAUGAAGGGAGAACUUGUCAACAACCUUGAGAUUGGAAGCCAAAGCAGCAAAUCUUGUGGGUGAUAAGGCUUUAACCCCCUGCCAUUAUUAGAUAUUGUUGAAGAUGACCCAGAUUCAGAAAAGAGAGAGUAGAGAGAGAGAGUGUGUUUGUUGUUACUGAAUUCUAUUAUGUAAAUUGGUAACUGUUACAGUUGGAUACAAUUGGUAUAUAUAGUCUUUCCUAAAGACUAUUGUAAUAGCUAACUAUUAGUCAACUAACAGGAUAGUUGACUAGAACUAACUAGUCUAUAGUAUAUCUCUAAUACACCCCCGCAAGCUCAAGGUGGGUGAUGAAGGGAGAACUUGUCAACAACCUUGAGAUUGGAAGCCAAAGCAGCAAAUCUUGUGGGUGAUAAGGC